This 105-nucleotide ribosomal RNA is filed under the name Elizabethkingia meningoseptica. RNAcentral's name for it is "partial 16S ribosomal RNA". It matches the Rfam family "Bacterial small subunit ribosomal RNA", at positions 1 to 106 of the family's 1533-position model. The record is from RNAcentral. Lineage: Bacteria; Pseudomonadati; Bacteroidota; Flavobacteriia; Flavobacteriales; Weeksellaceae.
ACAAUGGAGAGUUUGAUCCUGGCUCAGGAUGAACGCUAGCGGGAGGCCUAACACAUGCAAGCCGAGCGGUAGAGAUUCUUCGGAAUCUUGAGAGCGGCGUACGGG